RNAcentral lists this long non-coding RNA (15186 nucleotides) under Triticum aestivum (bread wheat). Its description in RNAcentral is "long non-coding RNA (TAES_LNC017157)". The record is from RNAcentral. Lineage: Eukaryota; Viridiplantae; Streptophyta; Magnoliopsida; Poales; Poaceae.
CCGCGUACUCACGCUGUCUCCAGCGACAAGAUGAUGAGACGCGCUCGCGCCCCCACCCGGCAUGCAAACAUUGUCUCCGACGACAAGAAGGUGAGCCGUGAUCGCGCCCCCACCCUGCAUGCAAACCGUGUCUCCGAUGACAAGAUGGUGAGCCGCACUCGCUUCCCCCUCUCCUACUAGUGAUUUGGAGUUAACCGGUGCCUAAUGAUUUGAAGUUACUGACAAUCUUUAAUCCAGUCAUGUGAAUUGUACUAGUGCUUACUGAAUUACAUGAUGUGUAUGUGCAUGAACUACGUGGUGUGUACAUGUCCUUGGAUUUUCUAAGCAUUGCGGUCUCAUCUGGCAGAUGGACAAGAACGAGAUGGUGCCGGUCCAGGGGGUGUCGCGCAUGCGGGGGAGCAUCGCGUCGUCAAGUGUGGUUGGUAAGUAUACUUUAUGCUGCUUUUUAUUGUCAACAUCGUCUCCAUGCAGGCUACACUGGCAAACAAGCUGCUUAACUCUUGUGCAUGCUGGUUUUUUGUCAUCACUAGUAUACUGGUACUGGACUGGAGCUUGUUAGCUCUGUCCAUGCUGGGCCUUUUUGUCAUCAUUAGUAUUGUUAUAUAUUAGCUGAAGCUGCACAUGUUUUCUUUCCAUUGACGUUGGUGCGGGCGGUGCUACGCGUCAGUCGGCUGAUGGAUGGACGCCUUACUCACCUGAUUUUAAUCAAGUCCCACCUAGGUGUAGUUUGUUUUGUCACUAGCUGUGUAUACAUAGGCGAGCUCCAGCACUGCGUUGCAGCGUGGAAAACAUAUGAACUGUAAUAAGAAACAUGCAGUGGCUAGAAACAUCUCCACAUAUUUUUUCCAACACGUUUUAGGUGUCAACGAAAUUAGUCGGAUCGCCAGCCAUCGAAUUGACACAUGGAGCAUUGGAUCACAAUACACGGCAGCAGAGAGAAUGGAAACCGUGUUUGUCCAUUGCCUCCACAAUACAUAUGUAUCCACCACCCCUCCUACAUCGUCGCAACAGACAAUUACGUCGGCCCCUUCCGACACCUCGCUUUGGUACCCUAGAGACCCUGAUGUCGCUUGGAUAUCCUGCAAGUAUUAUUACAGUGCGCCAACAAGGCGUCGUCCUUGCAACAUUGUCUUACAGACAAUGUAGUUGAUGCCACCACCACCAUCACCCAUUUACACAUGGGCCGUCGCAUGUGGCACUGUUCGUGGGAUAAAACACACCCCGCGAGAAUACGUGGUUGCACCACUGCGAUCUAUGCACCUUAGGAAUUGUUUUGACUGCCCCUGCAAAACUAGCGAUGAUACGGCCAUCGCCCUGCAACAUUGGCCAUAGUUGUAGCACAUCUGAGAAGACGGAUGCCGCACCUAACAACACAGUAUGUGUUUUUUGCACCAUAAGAAAGCACUGCCUUGCAACGUCGGCUAUCAGGGUGCUGCACUGACAAACACACUCACGACCUUGAGACGUCGUAUGCCUUGGCCGAUGUAGCAUAGUGCUCCUCUUUCAGCACAUAGCGAUGGCUUGUAGCAUUGAUGGUCGGAGAGUCGCUGCAUCGUUGAGUGGCAGUGCUAGCCAAACUCAUUGUCAUAGAGAAGGGGGAAUAAAGGAUGGGUGUGCACGUGGUGGAAAUAAAGCGAAUGGAUAUGGUGAAGAGAGAGGAUGACUAACAAGGGGCAUCUGGCGCUAGAGCGAGCUGACUGAUUUCCCCCUAAAACCAGCCUGUUGAAUAUAAUUCAAUUUUCUUUUGAGAGACCUCAUAAAAACGUCGCAACAUGCGAGCAUGUCUAUACAAAAAAUUGUAGAUAUACAACACAUACUCAUUAGCUGCAACAAAUCAGUGAAAAACACAAUGUAUAUAGGCCUGAACCGAUGGAUCAUCAGCAUGCAUCUGCCAGCUCUUCCUAGGUUACGCCCAACCGUGAGUCGUUCAAUUGGGUCACACAUCACUACCCAAUCAACCACCAACUUAGUUGUUCCUCUCGUCUCCUCUACCCACCCUUGGCAACAUACACCCAUGAUUCUCAGCAAUAGACCAACAUGGAGGCGACAAUGGUGGCCAUGAUAGGCUAGUGAAAAGCACACUGGUUGGUCAACCUUACAACACUAAACAGAAACAUUGCAACAUGAGGUAACCCCAACUUUGUAGCACUGGUGCACCAUUUUCAACCACCUUGUAGCAAUGAAAAGUUCACUGACCAAUAGCAUUACUGCACCAAGUUACCGGCUUCCAGCACUGAACACCCGGGCUUGUAGCACCGCGAUGAUCGAUGGUCGGCCUUUCAACAGUAUUAGUUAACAUUGCACACCUCGUCUCCAUUUUUAUGUACAUACGCAUGAGUGACCUUGGAACAUCAGUAACGUGUCAACAUUAUCAAACUUGAAGACGAUAAAUUUGUUUCUCCAAGCAUCGACAUUACUGAAUAAGCGUGCAACUGCACAUCCACCACAUGAGCCAUAAUUUUUUAGCCCUGCGACAACAGCUUAUAGUUGCAAAAGAGCUGACGAUGAUGGUUUAGAAUGUAUAUGAUCAAAACAGAUUAAAUGGAGGGGAGGGUGGACUACCUAUGUUGAAUCAGACUAGCCGCAAGGUCACAAGUGCCUUGUCUAAAUAGCCAAAAAGACAAAAGGAGGCCUCCUGGAUUCUCCAUCCCGAAGCUAAGCAUAACUCCAACUCCAGACACGCUAGGGGGCUACUAAAGGUGCAAUACGGUAGGGGUGUCUUCUGGGUGGGAAGCCUGGUAGCAGGCCUACCUUAGGGCCCAAGAGGCCAAGUGGAGGAUCGGUGCAGUAGGGCAGCUCAGGAGCCCAGAUAAGGACUGUGAGAGCAUCUUGGCAUGCAAGCUAAGAUGGCAGUGGUAUGAGAUCUGAUGGAUUCCUUGUAAACCUAGCCCUUGCCACCUAUAUAAGGAGGGGCUCGGGGUUGUCAUUCACAUAUACUCUCAUAGACUAUACUCUUUGUAGCAUUAUACUUCAUCUCCACUCUAAACCCCUCGCACAAGGUGCUCCGCCAUGAAUAAAAAUCAGAUACAGGAAGUUGGGCAUUACCUCUCACCGAGGGCCCGAACCAAGGUAAAAACCUUUGUGUGAACUCCCUUGUCAUGGAUCCCUACAAGUUCACCACCCUACUAUGGGUACUCACAUUUUUACAUACUGUCACAUAGUUAAGUUCUGACACAUUUUCUCUGGGGAGUUGAAACAACUCAUGGUGUAAGUAGGUGUUGCUUGAAGCACUGAUUCUACUAGCACCUCCUUUCCAGCCUUCGAGAUACCUUGUCCUUCCUAUCCAACCACUUUGCCAUUUGAGCUUUCUUUAAGAUGUUUAAAAUUUCCCUCCUUUGACCUACCCACCACGGUUGGAAGCCCCAAAUAAUGCUCGCUCAAUGCCUUAGGAUCUGUGCAAAGAUAUUUACAACAACUUAGUCCUCCUAUUUGCCUCACUUCCCAAAGAAUGUUGAGGCUUUUUGAAAAUUUACCAUUUGUCCCGAGGCCCACUCGUAGUCAAUGAGGAUAUAUUUAAGGUUACAAAGUUGCCAUUUGACGGUUGAAGAAAUACUAUACUAUCAUCUGCAGAAAUAAGAUGGGCUACAUGGGGGUUAGUGCUCCCAAAAGAUAUACCAUUGAUCUCUUUAUCUUUGAGCACUCAUGAGAAAGGCCAAAAAACUCGCAACAUAGAAAAAAAAUAGGGAGACCUCUUCAUAGUAUAAAAAAAAUAGGGAGCCCUCUUCAUAGUAUAAAAAAAAUACAAAACACACUCCUUUCAAUUUGAUCGAAAACCUGGCCGGGGUACCACACAUCAUAAUCAUCAAGAUCAACCUAUCUGAGAAACCAAGUGCCCUCAUCAUCAGAUCGAGGAAAAUCUAAACCAACCUCUUAUAGGCCUUCAUCCUGUAUAGUUUAAUUGCCAACAUUGGAUUUUUUCUAUUUCUUGAAUGUACUUUGCUCCUUCGUGAUCAUAAUGGAUAGGACAACCUUCAAUCUCUUUGCUAGGCCUUUGAAGCAAUCUGACUAAGCGUGUUCAAUAAGUUGAUUGAUCCCAUUUGAGGAAGUAUCUCCAUUUAGGUAAUUUUGGGGAUUAGGACUAGAACCAUAUCACUAAAGUUUGGUGAAAUAACUCCAUUAAAAGAAUCAUCUAUUACUAUGCGUACAUCAUUUUUUAGAAAUAACUAGUGAAAUUGGUAAACAUGAGUGAGAGGUUGUCUAGCCCCUGCGCUCCAGUCAAAUUUAGAAUAGUGCAUUCUCAAUUUCUUCAUCCAUCACGUCUGUGUUCACCCUCUCCUCCAUAUCACUAGUCACACAGGGUCGGAAGUGAGCUAAGAUGUUGUCAGCAUCAGCAGAGGCUUCUGAAGAAAACAACUAAGCAUAGAAAUCGGCCGAAAUCUUCCACAUCUCAUUGUCAGUAGUACAACUCGUGCCAUCCGCCCUCAUGUUUUGAUCGUCUUUCUUGAGAAAUUCCACUCGAGAACAUUGCAUACACAUUAUUUGUUCCUGUGCACGAACCACAUGAAGCUAGGCUUCAAUCUCGCUGGUCUUCACCGAGGAUGUCUGGAUCCCAAUGAUCUACCCUUUCCAUCGAAGCUGGAACUUGUGCCUAGUUAUCUCACAACAUACAAGACAAAAUACAGAGCCACUUCAAUAUUUCAUAUCAUUGGUGACAUUGUUAUGCUUCAUGUAGAGCUCACUCUGGCCGGAAUUGUUAUCACAUGCACACCAUCAUGCCUCCAUGGGCAUCCACCUCUCCUCAAACGUUAAUGCCUUGUUCUUACUUUUGGUAAUGACUAGGUUUUCUAGCGCUCUAUUAACGAGCAAACCAUGGUCUCGUCCUCCAUGACAACAUGUUCAAUGGUUGUAUCCUACAAUGAAUGCACGACUUCAUCAUUGCAUGGACCCCUGUCCACAUGUACAUAAAGCAUCUCAUCUCGCUCCCUCUUAUUGUCCCAAGUGUACAGGUUGCUACUAAAACAAAGUUUUGAAACGCUAUUAUUGGCUACACUCUCCCUAAUGCGUUCCAUUUGUGUGAAACUCCUCAAGUAAUCUCCUAGUUGUUGUGAUUAAAAGAAUUCUUUGUUGAGCUAUCAUUGUAAUAGAUAAAUGUAUUAUUAGGAUCCAGUUUCUCGGAGCCUCCCUUAGCUACACAAAUUUUCUUCAAUCUCUCUUCCUAUCAAGUAGCUUUAGGUUAUAAUCAUUGUGAUGCCUUUGGUAGUCACCAUCACCUUGCCUCGUAUUAUGAACAAAAGUGCCUCAUCUGCGUUGCUCUGAGGUAGAUGGUCAUCUUUCCCAAUGGCCUUGCACCCUUUCCCAUAUAUAUUUUUUAUGUCUUGCUUCCUUUCAUGCUCCUUUCUCAUGUCCCACUUCCUUUUUAGAUUUAAAUCAUCCCUUAGUUCACAAUCAUGUCACAGAUCUUGCCUGCAUUGGUCCUCCCUGCACUUCAUCUUAGACAGUGACCCUCUACAAGACCAUCUCGAGGAUCCUCGUAGAGAGAGAGAGAGUCCACAGAGGGUGUAUAAUCAUUGUAUGACCUGCACGUAAAUGGACGCACAUGCAACGCUACAUGACCCAUCGCCCAUAGACGCCCUUGCUUGACCUAGUGCUCCCAAAACUAAAGUUCCUCCUUUCUUUCACCAGCCUCUACUUUGUUUUUGUCUGUGAGGAGCCACGUCCAAGUUAUGCCCUCAACCAUUCACCCAACUGGGGUGAGGAAUCAUUUUGUGGUUCAAAUCAUCCGUCAACAUGUGCUAGUCUGUCGUAGUCAAUCCAAAAGAGAGGUAUCUUCUCAAAUUGAAAAUCAAACAAGGUCCCCUCAUCUUUUGCUGAAGAGUGGAGAAAGAAGCCUUAGACUAGUGAAAGAAAUAUGAAAAUUCUAGCUCUUGAUCUGAGAUGGUUCCCCCAUAAAUCCAUCCUUCUUAACAUCACUCUUUACCACGCCACGAAGACAAUUCCCAAGAGCAUUCCCAAAAGUAUAUGAUCAUUUAUAUAGGGGAGGAUCUGUAAUUAUCACCCAUGGCUCCGUCAUACAAAACAUUAUCUUUGAUGACCUAGUUUUUUCAUCAUAAUCCUUCAAAAGUAUCACAUUAAAACCAAAUUGCCACAUUCAAUUAUAUAGAGCGUGCUUUUAGACUCCUUUGUUAUGGAAUCUAAAGAAGAAGAUAUUAUUUCUAAUGUGACUUAUUUGGGCUUCCUAGUAUAGUCCCAUGUAUGUUGCAUAGCCCUAGCAAACACGUUGAUGUUGAUUUGCUGGAGUGAGCAUGCCUUUCCAACCACUGACCACCAAGUAGGCCUCGGUCGGUCUGGAAUCCUGAUCCUCAAACAUGAGAUCUAUUAGUUCCUUUUGUUGUCAAGUUCAGGGCUCCUUGUUAAUUUGGUUGAGAGUUUAGCUGCCUCCCCUGAAGCAUUUCCAUCUGUCAGGGACUUUUGAAGGUUCUCAUCUUAACGAUCCUUGGUCGCCAUGUUCACUUGAGCUGUCGAUUUACGCCACGCCUUCUCUCCCAUCACCGCGAAAAGGAGUGGAAGCACCAAGACCAGUGAAUGUAGGAGUUUACAGUGUCAUCACCUCAUAGAUGAAUAAAAACCUAACCCUAGCACUACUUGUCGGUCGCCUAUAAUCACCCUUAGCAUUUCUUUUCAUGUUGGGCCUGCCACUAGGUAUUUAUACGUGUGCUUCCAUUGGUACUUUUUUUUCGCUGGAGCAUUUCUGCUACAUUUGCCUUUCUACAAAGGCGGUCUCAUCCAAAUCAUAUAGUCUCCUCUAUCUAUAGGAAGCGAGGACAUUAGCUCUUCUUUUUUUCAAGGCAAAUACACUUGCUACUGUUCAAGCGACAUCUAAAGAAGUCUUGUCACAUGUGAAGACGACGCUAAGAGUGUGACACAUAUAGGUGCCAACUUGAAGAAUAAUGCAAAUUUCAGUAAAUAUGAAUAGCUCCAGGGGAACGAGCGCACAAAGGAAUCAGCCACCAUAAAUGGAUCAUUUCCAAAGAAACAAAGUCACAAAGAGAGAGACAAGACAUUAGCUUCUUUAUGGGGAACACAUACAUUUAAAUGUUGCCUUGCUCUCUGAUUAUUAACAAGAAAUAAUUUUUACUAAUAUAUUAUGUGUAAAUCUUGAUAGAUAUGGAAUGUAUUUUGGUCAGUAUGUUUUAAGGAAUCAUAUUAGUUUUUGGUAUGUUGAAAUUAGAAGAAGUUCAUGUGCCUUCAAGGCAUGUCAAGGUGUGUUGUUCCACCUCAAAAUUGGUACAUACUAAAUGGUUAUUCUCCCUACAUAUAGUCCCAAUUCUCAUGCUCUCUCUCUCUAUCUAUCUAUCUAUCUAUCUAUCUAUCUAUCUCUCUACAUUUUAUAUUCCAGACUACUCCAUAAAGCCUAACUGGUGAAGGUCCAGAAACACCCAGCAGUGAUGGGUUCAACUCCCAUUAGUAGUCUAUACUUAGUGGAGGAGAAAAAAGCCAAGCCCGGCAAUGGUGAAUAAAUCAGAAAAGAAAAUAAGGCCAUGCCCAGUCCAAAUCCGGCACCUGCCAACAAUGUGUAGUCUCCACUACUCGAACCUACUUUUCCUCAGUGUGUUACAUCAUGUGAUGUUUGGAGAAGCCAUAGAGUUGGGGAUCCGAAUAUAGAAAACAACAAUGGGGAGUGGCUUGAAGAAUAGGAGCCAAGAAGCCGGACGGACAAGGCCUCCGCCAUGCUGUACCAUUGGCCGAUACUGACCCGUAUGGUGCAAGGACCGAGGCAGAACUGAACACCGUCAUCAUCUAGGUUGCAAAGGAAGUUGGACCACUGUGUUUCUUCUCUCGGACAAACUCAAUGAUUUCAUGCAGUUGGCACCCACGCCACAUUCCACAGAGAUAACAACAUUGAGGAGGAGGAGGAGGAGGGGCAACGCAAGGUUUCUUCCUCAUAGGAAUUACUUUCGAGGAAGUGGGGGACGGUAUGGCAUGAUGAGCAGUUAACAAGGGAAGUUUGCAUGACUGUGGAGGACAAAUCAUGAAGACAAGUGUGCUAGUAGCUAUAUAAGGGAUGAAUGAUAGCAGGAAGGAAUAAUGAGCUUACUGGGUGAGGCUACUAUUUUUUAAGUUGCGACCUACUGAUCAUAACAACAAUUGAUCGUAACAACGUACCAUUGAUGAUAUAGGGUAUUGAUUUAGUAACUGUCACGAUGUGACUAGGGCUUGUAAGCGGUGGGUUGUAUAUUACUAACAAGUAGCAUGUUUAGCCUCAAUAUUGUCCUCUGUCACUCGUAACAUCGUACCAUUGACGGACCCCGUCACUACUACCUUUUUCCAACAAAAAUAGAAUUUUAGUUAUAGUAAGAUUCACAACAAUCCCGCCGGCCAUUAGUGCUAAGUUGCACUGCUGACCGGUUUUUUGACCCACCACUUUUGAUCGAUAACUAGGCGAGACCUCUAGUCUGGUGCACAUUUCUUUUGUUCAGAAUUUUUAGUGUUUUUAUGUGUACAAAGACAUAUAUUUCAACCCUAACAGGUUCUCUUUAGGUGGGGUCGAGAGUGAAGGACUGGGGAGCUUGGAAGCAGGGGAAAUGGCACCUCAAGGGGUUCAGGUCUCUAUGAUCAAUAACCACAAUUUUGAUCUGAAUGAGCUGCCGACUGAGCAUGAGUAGCUCAAGAAGGAGUAGUCACCUCUGGAGCAAGAGUAUCCGCCUAUGGCACAACAUGAGAUUUAAUAUUCACAAUGGUUGGAGGCUACUCAAAUCCCUCUUGUGUGAGCAAAGUUAACUCUUGGCCCAAAGUGUAGCCCUGUCAGAAAUUAUCGAAACAAUAUCCUUAUCCCAAGGACGAUUGUAAAGCUUAUGUGGAACUUUUGAAUUUCUCACUUCCUAUUUUUUGUUGAUUGACUGACGCUAUUGCUAAACUUGAGGGAAGGACCUUGUAUACUGCUUCAUGAUCAACGUGUCAACUGGAAAUGGCUUUUCUAUUCAUUUCCCAUGAUGGUUUUGAUAUGUGGAUUGUUUGAACAAGCAGGUGUUCAUUCGGUAAAGCUUUGUGAAACAUCAACGGUGGAGCUAGGUCUCUGGUCAUGUGAAAUGAUAGUAGGUCAAGAAGUGUGUUGGAUCAUGAGAUAACAUAUUUUCUAAGUUGUUAAUCAUGUGUGUUAACACCAUGGGUAGUAUGAGAGAAGGUCAACAUGCAUGUUUGGGUCUGAAAUGACCUCAUGACCAAAAAAGGGAGAGAAACAUGGCUAAUAGGAAUACGAACGAUAUGGAAGUUACUUGUUGCAUGGAUGUUAACUGUGGUUAUGAAGCCACACAAGAUGUCAGAGGACCCGCAUCCUUACAUAUCAAGGUUGACUUCACAUGCCAACUGGAUUUCGUCUAAAUUAUUGUAUAUGUAUGUAUGUUAUAUCUUGAAAUCUUACCAAACAAAAAACACCAAAAAAUACACUAUUUACUUCUCUUUGAUGCAUACUCUAGUUGGAGGGUAAUCAAAAGCUUAUGUGGAUAUUUGUCCAUAAUAGAAUAUACAAUGGUCUAGUGAGGCAAGGUGUAAAUGGACAGGACAAUAGUCGAACAUGAAAACAUCCAACAUUGUGUUAUAGUUGCAUCAAGUUGUCUAGUGAGUUAAUAUGGAAAUGGAGGAGGCUCAUAGGGCAACACGAGAACACCCAACAUGUAGCUCUACUUACUUCCUAUUGGUACGAAGAGACCGAGACUAGUGAACGGUUAACCAUAACACAUGGACAAGAUAUCUCAUACAAGAUGAAAAUGGAGUGAGUCUUGUAUGAAAAUGAUAACAAAGUAUGAGUGUGCAUAGCAUGCCAUCCCACAUACAUCAACUAUCCUACAUGUGAAUCAAAUCCACAUCCUACAUGGGCAUUGGGCUUUAGUUGGACUACCACUUUAUGGACAAGCCAUGUGCUCCAUGUAGUCUAUAUUGCAAAGGCGGGAGGACAGGGAGCAAAUAGUUUUCGAUGGCUGGACAUUGAAGUUAUUUGUCAAGAAAUUUGUUUCCUGACAUGGUUUGUUUAUUUCAUUGUUUAGUAUUCGAUAUCGGUUCAAUGCUCUAGUAUGUAACCUUCUUCUCACAUUUUGGGUCUAGCUCUUGGUGUUCAUGAGUUCAUUACUUAUGUUAACUAUUAUUGUUGUGCCUACUUGUUCAUAAGAGACUAUAAAAAUAACUAAGAUACUCCCGUAUUUAUAUUAAUAUAGUUGGCACUAAGGUAAUCAUCAACAUUGAAUAUUGCUCAUAUUUGUCAAAUAGGAGGUCAAGCUGGAUCUGUCUGGCGCAUCAUCUAUGGUCACAUAUGGUGUAUUGUCUAUUCUAAACCCAAUGAGUAUUGCAGAAUGACAUGUGCCUGCGGGGAGGAAUGAGUCACUGUUUUGGGUCAAGGGGUGAUGCCAUGCCUCAUAAUUGACAAUAAAAAAUUAACCACCUACAUAAAAAGUCUAACCCAAGACAGGGAAUAUGCGCCAUUGCAAUUUUACUGCACAAAGUCAUCGGUAUUUUGCAAUUGAAUGUUCCCCAUGUUGUGACUGAGAACACAAAACACAAAACACCCCACAAAACACUAUUCACUUCUCCUCGAUGCAUAUUCUAGUGGAAGGGUAGUCAUAACCAUAUGGGAAUAUUUUACCACAAUAGAAUCUAUAAUGGUCUAGUGAGGCAAGGUGUAAAUGGAGAGGAUAAUAGGCGAACAUGGAAACAACCAACAUUGUGUUGUACUUUCAUCUAGUUGUAUAGUGAGAUAAUAUGGAAACGGAGGAGGCUCAUAGGGCAACAUGAGAACGCCCAACAUGUUGCUCUACUUACUUCCUAUUGUUACCAAGGGACUGAGACUCGAGCAUGGUUAAUCAUAACACAUGGAAAAGAUCUCUCAUACUAGUUGAUAAUAGAAUGAAUCUUGUAUGAUAAUGCUAACAAAGUAUGAGUGUAGAUAACAUGCCAUCUCCUCCCUUUCUUGUUGUAUUUUCCUUCACCAACCCCCAUAGUACCCUGAUCAACACUAUUAAUUCGAUAUGCUUCACAUCUGAGUUAGAAUUGUGAUUGGGAAUAGUUGUAUCAUUAUCUAAGUAGACUUAUUUAAGGGGAAAUAACGGACAUGUCUUAUCUAUUAUAGCCACAUUCCGGAUAGGAAUAAAAAAAGUUGACAUAACAAUAUAAUUUGUUGAGAUUUGAAUCGAAAAUUCAACAUACAUCAACUAUGCUACAUGUAAAUCAAAUCCUCAUCCUACAUCGGCAUUCGGCUUUAUUUGGACUACCACUUUAUGGACAAGCCGUGUGGUCCAUGUGGUCUACGUCACAACGGCCAGAGGACAAGGAGAAAAUAGUUGUCGAUGAUUGGUGAUUGAAGUUAUUUGUCAAGAAAUUUUUUCCCCAACAUGGUUCAUUUAAUUCAUUAUUUAGUAUUUGAUAUAGGUUCUAUGCUCUAAUGUGUAACCUUCUUCUCACGAUUUGGGUCUAGCUGACAGUGGUCAUGAGUUCAUUACUUAUGUUAACUACUAUUGUUGUGUCCACUUGUUCGCAAGAGACUAUAAAGUUAACUUAUAUCCUCCCGUAUUUAUAUUAAUAUAGUUGGUGGUUAGGUAAUCCUUGACCUGGAAUAUUACUCACAUUUUUCAAAUAGGAGGCCAAGCUGGAACUGUCUAGUGCAUCAUCUAUGGUCACAUAUGGUGUAUUGCCUAUUCUAAACCCAAUGAGUACUACAUUAUGGCAUGUGCCUGCAAGGAGGAAUGAGUUACUCUUUUAUGUCAAGGGGAGCGGCAUGCCUAAUAAUUGUCAAUGAAAAAUUAAUAGUCUACAUCAAAAGUCUAACCCAAGAAAGUGAAUAUGUGCCAUUGUAAUUUUACAACACUAAGGGCCUGUUCUGAUCUUGUCCAGCUCCACGCUUCACAAAUUCCUGGAGCAGAUACGAGCCGAAUGAAAUAGCAGCGAGAAGCUAGCUCCAGGAAGCUAGGAUCGACUGCAGUGCAAAAUCAUGAAGCAGACUCGGCCCAGCUCCACCGAUCUGGAAAGCUGAAGUUAGCCCAUAUUACAAGUGAACUGCCAUAGCCAAAUCAUACAAGCCGAACCGGUACGCUCGAUCAGUUUGAUUGCUCCUCGUUCCCUCGCUCGUGCUCCCUCACUGCUCCUCUACAAGGCCGAUUUGGGUUGCCUCCAGUCAGCCCAACUAGCUCGAACAAGCCACAACCCUUCUAGUUGGGUUGCAGUGCCGCGAGAAGCUACAAACCGAGCAUAACAGAUUUUUCAUCGCUGCUUGGAGUGAGAAGCUACUCUGAAAAGUUGAAUUUCUUAAGUUUUGGGAAGCUAGAGGAGAUCAUAACAGGCCCUAAGUCAUCGGUAUUUCAUAAUUGAAUAUUCUCCAUGUCGUGACUUUUGAUGGUGUAAACCCAAAUAAUCGCCAUUGUGAAAUUAAAUUCCUCUCGUGAGUCGAACCCACAUCCAUAAAGAUGUGCCACUAAAAUCCACCUCCAGGCUAUCUUGGAGUCCUUAAUAUAAUCAAGUGUGCCCAAUAUGGUGACUUAAUAUGUAUUUAUUGACCCUACGAAGCUAAUCACCUCCAUCAAGACCCAUUCCUGGUUCUCCUAUAACUAGAUUCCCCGAAACCACGAGAAUCCUUAGAAUGGGAUUACAACUUAGCACCUUUCGUUUUCACAUAGUAAGAAGAGUUGCUCCUUGGAUAGCACGGUACGAUCAAAGGUGCAACCUGUGUUUCGGAGGGAGUUAUUGUCUCGAAACUUUGUUCUCAGCUAUUCCGAUUCCAUCAAACGGAGGCCAUUGGGUCAAUGCUGUAGUGCACGCCCUGUAGUUUUCAAGUGGGGUGAGACAACUUUAGAUAGGAACCUAUUUUCAUUCUGACCAGCUCCCUGAAAACAAUGUUCGACUUCAUGUGUAGUCGGUGUAGAUGUGUCAUUGCAAUGCCACCACUAGGAUAUCAACAAGUCAUAUGUAUUACAUGACAACAUAUGCCACCAUAUGGUGACUUGAUAAAUUAAAUGGAUUUCACCAAGCUUUCGUGUUACAAUUAUAGUGAAGAUAGUGACUCACAUGUCAGCCUCCCUGAUGGGAAGCAAAAUCACUCUGACUUUGGCAACCUAAUUUUUGGUGGAUUCAAGCAAACAUGUUGGAUUUGUAUUUUAUUUAUUUCAACAUAUAUAAUUCAUAUAAAUAAAUCAAUUCAUAAUAGGUGUCUUAGAGACACCCAUGUCAAUAAUGUGAAAUUAUGGGAAAUCUUAUUGUGUGCAUCAACAUAAGCCAAAACUCGUGGCUUAAGAGAUAUGUGUACAAUCUUCCAAUGGUUAUUCCCCCUACUAAAUUCAUGAUGUUAACUAGUUCCCAGAAGUUGAGAAAGAAGUUUAGUCAUGGGAUCAAUGUCCAGUGCAUCAUAUUUCCAGUUCCCAAAAAAAUUUGUUAUGGAAGUUGAGAAAGAAGUUUGGGCAACAUAUUUCCAGACACCUGUCAUGUCUAGGAUCUUCUCAAGCCUAGGUAAGCUUAGUCAUGGGAUCAAUGCAGGCUAUUAGUACAUUGACCUGGUUCUUAAUUCAAGUCCUCCUUGCUUGAUACAAUAUUGAAUGGAAAGUACAUAAUCAAUUUACUUAAGUGGGUGAACAAUGUUGGCUAGUAUAUUUCAACACUCACCUCACAUGCAUCUUUUAGAGGCAUAUAAUGCAUCGUGAUGGAAACAUUUUUUCUAUAGACUAAAUUCCAAUGGAAAAUUUUAAUUAAUUUAAUUAGUAGCAAUCUCGUAUCGCAAGGAUAUAUGGCAAAUGAAAAUGAGGGCUCAAAUGCUACUUGUUGGCACACAAAAGUCAAGUUGUCUUUUUCCUCCCAUGUUGAUCCUCCGUGGUUCGACAUUGGGCAUUACAAAGAGAUCAAGUUAUCUUUACACACCGCUAGAGCUACCAGACCCUGGAUGUUCCAUCAUGAAUGUCCAUAUGGUGCAAUGAGUGAUAGCGAGGUAUAUUAGAACAUAUAGUUUACACCGUUAAAGUAAUUAAAUGGGCUAUUUUUCCUACUAUGAAAAAUAGUAUUUUAAGAGAAAACUAUAUAAGAGUUUGUGAUCUUUGUAUGUAAAAGCAUUAUUUGCCUUUGCUUGGUGUUCACGCAGUUUGAUUUAUGGCAAAAAUGGAAAAUCAUGGGACAAUAAUUGUUGAUAUUUUUUGCCGGAAAGCCAGAUCUUUUCACUUUUCAGAUCACACAAAGUAUUGUUUUUCUUAUAGGGGUGAUAUACAGUGUUCUAAAUCUGCACUUGUGAUUCGUUGUCCAUUUAAAUCUGGUUUCUUCCACAGAUUAUGUUGGUUUGUUGUUGUAUUUAUCUCAGCACUAAAGUAUACUGAUGUUAGCUAAGUCCAAUCAAAGGCCCGUGUUUUUAUCAUGUUAUACAAAUUAGUAAGCUAAGAUCUUACCAAACUCAAGUUACAUAAGCCCAGACUACGUGAAAUACACAUCAUGCAGUACACAUGUUCAUCUUAGUGUUAUGUUAUACUUGGCUCCGAGAUAACAAAUGGUAUCAAUUAUUACUAUCUUUUGCAGCUUGUUUCUGCCUGUUCAUCGUAGAAUUAUCUUAUGUGGUCUCCCAAGGUUCAUACAACUUGGAUUUUUCAUACUUUGGUAGUAUUAGUGUUCACUAGGACUAGGUGCCACUCUGCAGAACCUGAGGAUACAGAUGGAGAAAGUAGUCAUGGUUUUUUUUUCAAAAAGUUUGUUCAUAUCUAUAAGAGGUUUAUGAUUUUUCAGUGUAUAGUGUUGUGAAACCUAGAGUGUUUUAUCUCAUUUAACAUUGAACUACGCUUUCAAGGAAAAACCUUCAUUUGACAUCGAACUAUGCAUGCAGGGCAAACACCCCGUGCUUCGGUGCCACCGCGCCGCGAACCCUGGGAGCUUGAACCUGGAUGGGUGUGAACUUCAGAUUGAUGUCAAGGUUAGGGGUCAGUCAUGGAUAGAGAAUAAAGGGGACUUUGCAAAACUGUUAUUAAUAAUAUGGAUGAAACAUUGCCUUGUGGAGAGAAUAAGAUAUUUCCAGAGAUAUUUAUAAAUGGAUGCAUACUUGAAAUAGCAGUACAAAAUAUGAUGCUAACAUUUUAUUUUCAUUGUUGUUCCCAUUAAACUUCUGGUGGUGGCUCCAUUAUUCACAGCCUCGCACAUGAAAAUGUUAUUUCGUUCGGGUAAAUGUUGCGUGUCGUUGCUCCUGUAGUUUUGCGGUUUGCAUCUCCUUGAAACUUGUGAGUUGGAUUUUUCGAAGUUGCAAUG